GAUUAACGCUGGCGGCGUGCAUAACACAUGCAAGUCGAACGAUGAAACUUAGUAUACUUCUUCGGAAAGACACUACGCGGAUUAGUGGCGAACGGGUGAGUAACGCAUGAGUCACCUGCCUUACACAAGGGGAUAGCCUUUGGCAAAGAAGAAUAAUACCUCCUAAGACUAUACACGCACAUGCUAAAAUGGUUAAAGUGGUAGCGGUGUAAGAUGGACUUGCUUCUGAUUAGCUAUUUGGAGAGGAAAAGGCACACUAAGGCAACGAUCAGUGGCGGGCUGAGAGGAGGGUACGGCCACAUGGGAAUGGGAACACGGCCCAGACUCCUAGGGGAGGCGGCAGUGGGAAAAUUUGCACAAGGGGGGAAACCCGGAUGCGGCGUGGCCGGGUAAUUUAGAAGGCCUUCGGGUUGUAAAGAUCUUUUGUAUAGGAAGAAAAUGACAGUACUAGACGAAUAAGGUCCGGCUAAUUACGUG
Molecule: ribosomal RNA, 477 nt
Filed under: uncultured bacterium
Lineage: Bacteria
Description: partial 16S ribosomal RNA
Rfam family: Bacterial small subunit ribosomal RNA
Source: RNAcentral